GGAAAGAUGUCCGAGUGGUUGAUGGUGCGGAUUUGGAAUGUCCGUGGUUUUUCCCGAGGGUUCGAAUCCCUCUCUUUCCG
This 80-nucleotide transfer RNA is filed under the name Staurocarteria cerasiformis. RNAcentral's name for it is "Carteria cerasiformis tRNA-Ser". It matches the Rfam family "tRNA". From Rfam's summary of the family: Transfer RNA (tRNA) molecules are approximately 80 nucleotides in length. Lineage: Eukaryota; Viridiplantae; Chlorophyta; Chlorophyceae; Chlamydomonadales; Chlamydomonadaceae. The record is from RNAcentral.